GACGAACGCUGGCGGCGUGCUUAACACAUGCAAGUCGAACGGAAAGGCCCUGCUUUUGUGGGGUGCUCGAGUGGCGAACGGGUGAGUAACACGUGAGUAACCUGCCCUUGACUUUGGGAUAACUUCAGGAAACUGGGGCUAAUACCGGAUAGGAGCUCCUGCUGCAUGGUGGGGGUUGGAAAGUUUCGGCGGUUGGGGAUGGACUCGCGGCUUAUCAGCUUGUUGGUGGGGUAGUGGCUUACCAAGGCUUUGACGGGUAGCCGGCCUGAGAGGGUGACCGGCCACAUUGGGACUGAGAUACGGCCCAGACUCCUACGGGAGGCAGCAGUGGGGAAUAUUGCACAAUGGGCGGAAGCCUGAUGCAGCAACGCCGCGUGCGGGAUGACGGCCUUCGGGCUGUAAACCGCUUUCGCCUGUGACGAAGCGUGAGUGACGGUAAUGGGUAAAGAAGCGCCGGCUAACUACGUG
RNAcentral lists this ribosomal RNA (468 nucleotides) under uncultured bacterium. RNAcentral describes it as "partial 16S ribosomal RNA". It matches the Rfam family "Bacterial small subunit ribosomal RNA", at positions 28 to 507 of the family's 1533-position model. The record is from RNAcentral.